CGUGGCGCUGGCCGAUGGCGCGGCCGAGGACUACCGCUUCCUGUUCGGCCCCGCCUUCGACGAUGCAGAGAUCGCGGCGCUGCGCGACAG
RNAcentral lists this transfer RNA (90 nucleotides) under Pseudoduganella buxea. Its description in RNAcentral is "tRNA-Gly". The record is from RNAcentral. Lineage: Bacteria; Pseudomonadati; Pseudomonadota; Betaproteobacteria; Burkholderiales; Oxalobacteraceae.